UGGGGAAUAUUGCACAAUGGGCGGAAGCCUGAUGCAGCGACGCCGCGUGGGGGAUGAAGGCCUUCGGGUUGUAAACUCCUUUCGACAGGGACGAAGCUUUUGUGACGGUACCUGUAUAAGAAGCACCGGCUAACUACGUGCCAGCAGCCGCGGUAAUACGUAGGGUGCGAGCGUUGUCCGGAAUUACUGGGCGUAAAGAGCUCGUAGGUGGUUUGUCGCGUCGUCUGUGAAAUUCCGGGGCUUAACUCCGGGCGUGCAGGCGAUACGGGCUGACUUGAGUGCUGUAGGGGAGACUGGAAUUCCUGGUGUAGCGGUGAAAUGCGCAGAUAUCAGGAGGAGCACCGAUGGCGAAGGCAGGUCUCUGGGCAGUAACUGACGCUGAGGAGCGAAAGCAUGGGUAGCGAACAGG
RNAcentral lists this ribosomal RNA (409 nucleotides) under Actinomycetes bacterium. Its description in RNAcentral is "Actinobacteria bacterium partial 16S ribosomal RNA". It matches the Rfam family "Bacterial small subunit ribosomal RNA", at positions 355 to 776 of the family's 1533-position model. Lineage: Bacteria; Bacillati; Actinomycetota; Actinomycetes. The record is from RNAcentral.